GGAGAUUCAGGAAAGAAAUUAUAUAGACUGUGGUACCUGAACAGCAAUUGGGCAAAAAUAAUAUCUCAGCAAGAAGAAUGGCUUACGUGGGAAAAUGAGGGAGAAGAAGAAGAAGGGAAUAAGCAACUACUCUUUCUGGGAACUCUUAUUUGUCUGGUCCAUGAAUACUGUGAGUAGCGUAUGGAUGGCCUGGGAGUGCAAGAAGAUUUGAGAUAAGAAGACCAAUCAAGAUGCUGUUGCAGGAAUGCAGGAAAGAGCUGAUAAGGGUCUAAACUAAGAUGGUAACUGUAUGACUAAAGGGAAGGUGUCAAGUAGGAGAGAUAAUUGAGUAGUCCUCUCUACAAUUUAAAUAUACCUAUUUUCCUAAACCAAUCCCUGUCCAACAUUUUUCAGUACUCUCACCAGUCCUGGUUUCCCUUUUCAAGAUGUAUUUCAGCUUGUGUAAGGCCUUCCUAUAAUAUGGUACUUAGAGCCAAAAAAAAUACCCCUGAUGAGGCAUAACCUAGGCAAAAUAUGGCACUCUGACACAUCUUACUCUGGAUACCAUGCUUCUCUUUUUUCCAAAAUAUGUUUUAUUGAUUUCAUUAAAUAUUU
This 594-nucleotide long non-coding RNA is filed under the name Monodelphis domestica (gray short-tailed opossum). RNAcentral describes it as "lncRNA (ENSMODG00000040281.1)". The record is from RNAcentral. Lineage: Eukaryota; Metazoa; Chordata; Mammalia; Didelphimorphia; Didelphidae.